Molecule: ribosomal RNA, 1041 nt
Filed under: Triticum aestivum (bread wheat)
Lineage: Eukaryota; Viridiplantae; Streptophyta; Magnoliopsida; Poales; Poaceae
Description: partial small subunit ribosomal RNA
Source: RNAcentral
AUGCAAUGCUUUAAUGACUGGAUUGCCGACCUCGAGCUCCGGGAAUUAGAUAGGGUCGGAGCCCGAUUCACCUGGACUAAUAAACAGGUGAACCCGACCCAGAGUGUCCUGGACCGGGUAUUUAUAUCCCCUGAAUGGGAACUUCGGUUCCCCUUAGCUACUCUCCAGGCCAUCACGCAGAUUGGAUCUGACCAUGUACCCCUCUUACUUUCAUCCAUGGAUGAGCGGCCCGGACCUCCUCCCCGCUUUUGGUUUGAGGCGUUCUGGCUUCGCCAUCCGAGAUUCAUUGCGGCCGUUCGAGACCAUUGGAUUGCGGCCCGUGCUGAACCUCACCGGACCAUGUCAGUCAUGGACGAUUGGCACCACUUGAACAAACGCUCCAGGCAAUUUAUGAAGGGCUAGGGCGCAAAUAUUGGGCGGGACCUGCGGGUCCAGUAGCAGACUGUACUCAUGGAGAUCCGGGCACUUGACAUACGCGCUGACGGCCCAAGUCUGUCUUCUGAGGAAUGGUCUCUUCGGUAUAGCCUGGAAGAUACCCUUACUAACAUCUAUGCCAAAGAAGAAGAAUACUGGCGCCAGCGCGGCUCUUUUAAUUGGAUCCUCUUUGGCGAUGCCAACACGGCUUAUUUUCAGGCCAUUGCCAAUGGCCGGAAGCGACGAUGCACCAUCCCCAUCCUUUGGGAUGGGGAGCGGUUGUUACAGGACCCGGACGAGAUCCGGGCUCAUGUUGAUGGGUUCUAUAUAACCCUGUUUUCCGCUCGUCCUCGAGCGGGCCUUGCUCUAGCUGAGAACUUUUGGGACGAGCAUCUCCGCGUCUCUCCUGAAGAGAACCAAUCUCUUCUUAACCCCUUUGAAGAAUCGGAGGUGGAGGCCAUCGUCAAGUCCAUGAACCCGGCCUCUGCCCCAGGUUCGGACGGCCUCCCGGUCUGGUUUUUUCAAGUUUUCUGGCCCACCGUCAAGGGCAGAUUAUGUCGUUAUCCCGGGAAUUUUCGAGGGGGGCCCUUGAUGUAUCCCGCCUUAACUAUGGGAUCAUAUCUCUGA